Molecule: ribosomal RNA, 578 nt
Filed under: Vatesus sp. ZMUN 10008424
Lineage: Eukaryota; Metazoa; Arthropoda; Insecta; Coleoptera; Staphylinidae
Description: partial 16S ribosomal RNA
Rfam family: Bacterial large subunit ribosomal RNA
Source: RNAcentral
UUAAAUGGCCGCAGUAAUUUGACUGUGCAAAGGUAGCAUAAUAAUUAGUUUUUUAAUUGAAAGCUGGAAUGAAUGGUUGGACGAGAAAAUAUCUGUCUCUAAUUAAUUUAUAGAAUUUUAUUUUUAAGUUAAAAAGCUUAAAUUUAUCUAAAAGACGAGAAGACCCUAUAGAGUUUUAUAUAAGUAUUUUUUUUAAUUAUAAGGAAUUUUUAGAUUGUAAUAAGUAUUUAUAUUUUAUUGGGGUGAUGGAAAAAUUUAUUUAACUUUUUAUUAUAAUUACAUUGAUUUAUGAUUUAUUGAUCCGUAAAAACGAUUAAAAGAUUAAAUUACCUUAGGGAUAACAGCGUAAUUUUUUUUUAGAGUUCUAAUCGAAAAAGAAGUUUGCGACCUCGAUGUUGGAUUAAAAUUAAUUUAUGGUGUAGAAGCUAUAAAAUUAGGUCUGUUCGACCUUUAAAAUUUUACAUGAUCUGAGUUUAAACCGGUGUGAGCCAGGUUGGUUUCUAUCUUUAUAAACUUAAAAUAUUUUAGUACGAAAGGACCAGAUAUUUAUAAUAAUUAUUUAAUUAUGAAUUAUAUUA